GCCCUUGUGAGUGUAUUAGUGUAAUUGAUUGCUAUCAUGUUCUGCCGGUGUGCUGAAGAGUGUGGGAAAGCCAGGGAGAUAUAUGGGCAGUAUAUGAGUGGAGUGGCAGUAUGUGAUUGGCAGUGUAUGAGUGGACUGGCAGUAUAUGAUUGGCAGUAUUGGACUGGCAGUAUAUGAUUGGCAGUAUAUGAUUGGCAGUAUGCGAAUGGCAGUUUAUGAUUGGCAGUAUAUGAUUGGCAGUAUGUGAUUGGAGUGGCAGUAUAUGAUUGGCAGUGUAUGAGUGGAGUGGCAGUAUAUGAUUGGCAGUAUAUGAUUGGCAGUAUAUGAGUGGAGUGGCAGUAUAUGAUUGGCAGUAUAUGAUUGGCAGUAUGCGAAUGGCAGUUUAUGAUUGGCAGUAUAUGAUUGGCAGUAUGCGAAUGGCAGUUUAUGAUUGGCAGUAUUUGAUUGACAGUAUAUGAGUGGAUUGGCAGUAUAUGAUUGACAGUAUAUGAGUGGAUUGGCAGUAUAUGAUUGGCAGUAUAUGAGUGGAUUGGCAGUAUAUGAUUGGCAGUAUAUGAGUGGAGUGGCAGUAUAUGAUUGGCAGUAUAUGAUUGGCAGUAUGCAAGUGGCAGUAUAUGAGUGACAGUAUAUGAUUGGCAGUAUGCAAGUGGCACUAUAUGAUUGGCAGUAUGUGAGUGACAGUAUGUGAGUUGCAGUAUGCAGGAGACGUUCUGGCCACGGCUCUGACCGCUAAAGGACCCCACAGGGAGAGCAGCACCUGGUCC
Molecule: long non-coding RNA, 764 nt
Organism: Clupea harengus (Atlantic herring)
Lineage: Eukaryota; Metazoa; Chordata; Actinopteri; Clupeiformes; Clupeidae
Source: Ensembl